RNAcentral lists this ribosomal RNA (429 nucleotides) under Bacteroidota bacterium. RNAcentral describes it as "Bacteroidetes bacterium partial 16S ribosomal RNA". It matches the Rfam family "Bacterial small subunit ribosomal RNA", at positions 355 to 776 of the family's 1533-position model. Lineage: Bacteria; Pseudomonadati; Bacteroidota. The record is from RNAcentral.
UAGGGAAUCUUCGGCAAUGGGGGGAACCCUGACCGAGCAACGCCGCGUGAGUGAAGAAGGUUUUCGGAUCGUAAAGCUCUGUUGUUAAGGAAGAACGAGUGUGAGAAUGGAAAGUUCAUGCUGUGACGGUACUUAACCAGAAAGGGACGGCUAACUACGUGCCAGCAGCCGCGGUAAUACGUAGGUCCCGAGCGUUGUCCGGAUUUAUUGGGCGUAAAGCGAGCGCAGGCGGUUAGAAAAGUCUGAAGUGAAAGGCAGUGGCUCAACCAUUGUAAGCUGUGGAAACUGUUUAACUUGAGUGCAGAAGGGGAGAGUAGAAUUCCAUGUGUAGCGGUGAAAUGCGUAGAUAUAUGGAGGAACACCGAUGGCGAAAGCGGCUCUCUGGUCUGUAACUGACGAUGAGGCUCGAAAGCGUGGGGAGCGAACAGG